Molecule: non-coding RNA, 473 nt
Filed under: uncultured Methylobacterium sp.
Lineage: Bacteria; Pseudomonadati; Pseudomonadota; Alphaproteobacteria; Hyphomicrobiales; Methylobacteriaceae
Source: RNAcentral
GGCCGGCCUCGCCGACGAGGGCGUCGUCGCCGAAAUAAUCGCCGCGGGUCGCGAGGCCCUGGCGCAGGCGGCCCUUGUAGGGGCCCGACAGGGUCAGCUCGACGGUGCCGUCGGCGACGAUCACGAGGCUGCGGCCCUUGGCGCCCUCCUCGGCGAUCACAUCACCGGCCUUGUGAUGGCUCUCGGUGAACUUGCCGGCCAGGGUGGCGAGCUCGGCAUCGCCGAGGCGGCUGAACAGCGGGACGGCGCGCAGCGAACCGGGACGGAUCGUACGGCCCUUGUCCUCGCUCACCAGAUCGACGCGGCCGGGCUUGGCCAGCACGACGGCGCGGCGGUUCACCCGGUAGACACCGCCGGCGACAUCAACGAACGGCAGCAGGCGCAGCAGGAAGCGCGGGGUGUUGGCGACGUUCUGGACCGAUGUGACGGUCGCAGUGGCUAGAUUGCGCGCCGCAGAGGCGCUCACGCUCAGG